Molecule: ribosomal RNA, 301 nt
Filed under: uncultured bacterium
Lineage: Bacteria
Description: partial 16S ribosomal RNA
Rfam family: Bacterial small subunit ribosomal RNA
Source: RNAcentral
CAGCAGCCGCGGGAAUACGUAGGUCCCGAGCGUUGUCCGGAUUUAUUGGGCGUAAAGCGAGCGCAGGCGGUUAGAUAAGUCUGAAGUUAAAGGCUGUGGCUUAACCAUAGUACGCUUUGGAAACUGUUUAACUUGAGUGCAAGAGGGGAGAGUGGAAUUCCAUGUGUAGCGGUGAAAUGCGUAGAUAUAUGGAGGAACACCGGUGGCGAAAGCGGCUCUCUGGCUUGUAACUGACGCUGAGGCUCGAAAGCGUGGGGAGCAGACAGGAUUAGAUACCCCCGUAGUCCCUGUCUCUUUACAC